This is a non-coding RNA of Pelobates cultripes (western spadefoot toad), 155 nucleotides long. The record is from the annotation of a GenBank genome assembly. NCBI's taxonomy places the organism in Eukaryota, Metazoa, Chordata, Amphibia, Anura, Pelobatidae.
GCGCGCGCGAUGGAGCACUCUCCCCUGAGUGCUUCCUGUUCAGCUCCCUCACGCGUCGCGUACUGAUACCGGAGCCGGAAGAUGGCUCCGGUAUCAGUGUGGUGCGUGAGGGAGUUGAAGAGGGAGCACUCAGGGGAGCGUGCUCCCUCGCACGU